RNAcentral lists this long non-coding RNA (1325 nucleotides) under Mytilus galloprovincialis (Mediterranean mussel). Lineage: Eukaryota; Metazoa; Mollusca; Bivalvia; Mytilida; Mytilidae. The record is from RNAcentral.
AGUCAAUCAUAUAACUAUGUUAACCUCUUCAAUUUCUAAAACAUUUUAAGUGGUAAGCUCUUGAUGAUUCAGAAAUACAUGCCUCCGCUCGUAAAACUUCAAACUGCAUUAUCUCUAAAACGACAAUAGAUAUCUCAAAUCUGUUAAAUGAUAAAUGAUCUACAGUUGAAGGACAACAUUAUAGAAAAAGAAUUUGGACAAUUUCAAAGUUCACCAAGGUCACAAUUAAUCAUCAAAUAUAUGAUGCAAUACAAAACUUGAGAACCGGAAGUCGUAGAGACAUGGGACUAUCACCAUUCAACUCAGGGCCACUUGACCUUUCAAAUAUCACAAGGUCAAAGUCAUAGUAUAAUGUGAAGGUCAAGAUGAAAUUUCAUCAUGACCUGACAUUGACCUCAAAUUGAAGGUCUUGAACUACUGAUCAUCUUUGCAGUUUAUAGUAGGUUGAUAUCUGUUACCUUUAAAAAGAUAUACACACAAUACUAUACUUUUAAGAAUCAUCCCGUCGUAACUUUUGAACAGACAGUCGGACUCUUUUGAGCUCAGAGUAUAAAAUGUAGAGCUCGUCGAGAGGAACAUUUUAUACGCUGCAUACUUACAGCAAACUCUUAUCGUUUUCUUAUCAAGAGAAAAAACUUCCUUAUAAGGGUUAACAACAAAAUGAUUGUAUAUGUUAAUUAACAUUGCCAUCUGGUCCUGUACAUGUUGCCGUUUUCAAAUCGAUUCUAUCUUGAAUACUUUUUGAGAAAAAUGUAAAAGAAUGAAAUUGCUUCAAGGGGACGUAACUCUCAUAGAGAAUGAUGAAAUCCUUAGCAGCCUCAUAUGGUAACACAUCAUGAUGAGAUCUAACUUUUGUCCAAAUAAGGUCAUGAUAUCUUUAAAAACAACGAGGGGGGGGCCAUGUCGAAAAAAACCAAUAAAAGGGAGAUAACUUCUAAAGGGGAUGAUGAAAUCCUACACAGUCUCAUCUGGUAAUACCUCAUGAUGAGGUCUACCGAUGGUCCAUAUUUGGUCUUGAUAACUCUAAUAGAAACGAGGGGAGGCCAUGUCAAACAAAUGCUGGAUGAAAAAAAAAAAAAAAAAAAAAAAAAAAAAAAAAAAAAAAAACAGGAGAAAAACAAUAAGGUCUUUCCUCGCGGAGAGGAAAGACCUUAAUAAUUAAAUUUACUUCUCAAGAUUAUAUCUGGCAUACAGAAUAUCCUGCAAAGUGUUUAUUUUUUCAAUAGAAAAUAAUCAAUUCCUUUUAACUGAAUCAUGAGCAGAACUCUUGUUUAUUACCACUUCAUUGGUAAUUCAAAACCCUUUUUCAACCAUUUAAAGGGGGA